This is a long non-coding RNA of Bactrocera oleae (olive fruit fly), 455 nucleotides long. RefSeq lists it as uncharacterized. NCBI's taxonomy places the organism in Eukaryota, Metazoa, Arthropoda, Insecta, Diptera, Tephritidae. The record is from RefSeq and is a predicted model, not a curated record.
UUGGAAGCGUUUGAUAAAUUUAUAAUACUGAACUUUAGCUUUUAUUUUAUUGAAAAAAGAAACGAAAGAAUUAAAAGGAAGACAUUAAUAUGCAUAUAUAAGUAUAUACAGAAAAUCCACUUGAUGCACCAGGGGAACCGCAUGUGAAAUGUGGCUGGCAUUUACAGCGUCCUGAGUUGAAAGGGGAAAAGCUAACUCCGACCAACCCUCAAUAGCCGCAGACGUUAUGGUCGGAGUUAGCAGUAUUGAGGCAAAUGGCACAAGCGCUAACGACGAUGACAACGGUGCUCAUUAAACUUUCUUAUAAAUUGAACAAACAAGAUCACAAAACAUCAACUGUCAUCUAGUGAGAACUAUUUCAUUGUGGUCUUAUUUUACUAUUUUUCUUUACUAGAGUUUUCUCAUAUAAUAAACGCAUUUUAAAUUCCGAAAUAUUCAUGAACUGGAGAAACACG